AUUGAACGCUGGCGGCAGGCUUAACACAUGCAAGUCGAGCGGAGAUGAGGUGCUUGCACCUUAUCUUAGCGGCGGACGGGUGAGUAAUGCUUAGGAAUCUGCCUAUUAGUGGGGGACAACAUUCCGAAAGGAAUGCUAAUACCGCAUACGUCCUACGGGAGAAAGCAGGGGAUCUUCGGACCUUGCGCUAAUAGAUGAGCCUAAGUCGGAUUAGCUAGUUGGUGGGGUAAAGGCCUACCAAGGCGACGAUCUGUAGCGGGUCUGAGAGGAUGAUCCGGCACACUGGGACUGAGACACGGCCCAGACUCCGACGGGAGGCAGCAGUGGGGAAUAUUGGACAAUGGGUGGAACCCUGAUCCAGCCAUGCCGCGUGUGUGAAGAAGGCCUUAUGGUUGUAAAGCACUUUAAGCGAGGAGGAGGCUACUGAGACUAAUACUCUUGGAUAGUGGACGUUACUCGCAGAAUAAGCACCGGCUAACUCUGUGCCAGCCGCCGCAGUAA
RNAcentral lists this ribosomal RNA (501 nucleotides) under uncultured bacterium. RNAcentral's name for it is "partial 16S ribosomal RNA". It matches the Rfam family "Bacterial small subunit ribosomal RNA", at positions 30 to 523 of the family's 1533-position model. The record is from RNAcentral.